This is a non-coding RNA of Sus scrofa (pig), 2433 nucleotides long. The record is from RefSeq and is a predicted model, not a curated record. NCBI's taxonomy places the organism in Eukaryota, Metazoa, Chordata, Mammalia, Artiodactyla, Suidae.
CUUAACCCACUGAGUGAGAUCAGGGAUCGAACCUUCAACCUCAUGGUUCCUAGCUGUGCCACGACGGGAACUCCAGGUUUUCUUACACGUACUAAAGCCAUCAUGAUGCCUAUGCGUUUGCUCCUACCAUGUACACACGUGCACCGUGUUCACAUGCAAUCUCAAAGCUCUUAAAAGACCAAGAGCCUUUCCUUGAUGUAUUAUUUAAAGGAGAAAGAUGCCUUGUUUUAUAAUGCAUUGUUGAGGGGGGAAAAAGGUUAUCACAAAACCAAAUGUAUAGAAUGACACCACUGCUCUAAAUAAGGUUAAAUAAAAUCUGGGGAUACAAGGUUCAAAAUGUUAACAAGGCUUAUCUCUGGGUGAUGAACUUACGGGUGGGUUUUUUCAUUUUUUCCUUUCUGCUUCUCUAUAUUUGCCAAAGUUUUAGGCAAUAGGCUUGUACUUCUUUUCCAAUUAGAAGAAUGAAGUUAAAUCAUAGGGGUUUUUAAUCUCCUUUUCUAGGUUCCUCCAAAUAUAAUUAAGACAGGCUGGAAUUUUUUUUUUUUAAUUUUACUAAAUUAAAUUGUAAAAGCAAUGACACCCUCUAAAAGAGAGGUUUACAAAAUUUUCUGACUUAACCACAGCUACUGACAAAUUGCUUACUGGAUCACUUCACAUACAGUUCCUUUCAUGCCUGGAAGCCUGGUAUGCUGGCAGAGCGCAAAUAUUUUGGAUUCUCCACUCUCUGAUUCUGACCCACAUGCAAGCAACUGGGCCAUCCUAACUUUCUAUCACCUGCAACAUAGUCCCCUAGGUCUCCUCCCAUUUGCUGCCAAUAUCUAAAGGUCUUUGGGCCUUGCUACCCACCAAGAGCUCCCCACUCAGUCUCAGUGGGAGAAGGGGGGCAGUUGUUAGGUAUGGAAGGCUUGCCCCUUCUCCAGCUCAGGGCUGGGGUAGAUACCACAAGGAGUGAGCUCAUCCUUCAAAGUUCUCUCACCUCUGCAGACAUGGAAUGACCUUGUCCAUCAAAGACCCAAUUACAUCACAAUCCUUUAGUGUGGUGGUUCCCAAAGUAUGGUUCAGGGACCUCCAGGGAUUACCAAGGCCCUUCUAGAGAGUGUCAUAUUCAAGGUCAAAUGAUUUCCGUAAUAAUGCUAAAACUGCAUUUUCCUUUUCACUUUCAUUCUUUUAGGAGUGAACAAUGGAUAUUCCAGAAGCUAAGUAACAAGUCACAACAGACUGAAUACAGAAGCACAUAUGAGAUCCAACUAUCUUCUACAGAUACUAGAGAUCUGCAAAAAUGUAAAACAAUGCCAUUCUUCUAAUUUUUGUCAUUGUAAAUGCAAUUAUUUUUCAGCUAGAAAAUGUAAGCAUGGCAUGGGCUUGUAACUGCUAUUUUUAUAUAUUCAAUAACUAUUUUUAAAUUUUAUUAACCUUAAUUUCUACAGUGGUAAAUGUCAAUAGAUAUAAACCACAUAUACUUGAGCAUAUCGGUGUUGUCAAUCAUUUUUAAAAGUACAAAGGGAUCUUGAGACCAAAAAGUUUGGUCUCGGACAUAAAAAAAGACCCUUAGGAUAGGGAUAGAGCAGGCGCAGGUGGUUGUAGAAGUCCCAGUAGGGGAUCAUAGGUAAAGAGGAAAACCUGGGAGAUGUUCAAGAAAGCCAUCAGAACAAGGCAGGCUUGCGUGACUGGUGUAGGUGCGAGAAUUGCCGCAGGUCAUUGGGUGGGGGUGGGAUGGGGACUGUGUUCAGAUUCAGACCAAGGGCAAGUGUUUGAAGACUACCCUUCAGCUGAUUUGAAUAAACACUUUACCAGAUACUAAGGAGGAGCUACCACUCCCAGAAAGGAAGAGGCGGGCCUUUCCGCCCCCCACUUCCAUUGGCUGAUAAAAGCAUAGCCCCCUGAAUCCUGGUGCAGAAGCUUCUUUGCCUGUCUGUUUGCAUCUCUCACAAGCGUCUUAUCCUAACAAAUCGGUGUCUUGCCUAUCACUUUGUCUCUCACUCAAUUCCGUCUGCUCGGAGGCAUGAAGUAUCUGAACCUCAGUGAGUCCAGACACAAGGCCAAGAAAAACAACACAGGAUCUUUGGAAGGAUACAGAAACCAAAUUAAACAGGGCUCCAUUCUGAAGAUCUUCUAUGCUCCCAAAUCCCAUCAUCACAAAGGACUGACAGACCACUGAUAGAACUCCAGGCUGGGGCCCGCAUUAAUUCAUGUGCUGGCAAAGAGGAGGGAAAUGUGUGCGACACUUUGCGCUUUACAAAACUCAAACCUUGGGAGUUCCUGUAGUGGCUCAGCAGGUUAAAGACCCGACAUUGUCUCUGCGAGAACAUGGGUUCGAUCCCUGGCCUUCUUCAGUGACUUGGGGUUCAGGCGUUGCCCCAAGCAGCAGUGUAGGUCGCAGAAGCAGCUCUGAUCAGACCCCUAGCCUGGGAACUCCCAUACGCCACAGGCACG